AUUGAACGCUGGCGGCAGGCCUAACACAUGCAAGUCGAACGGUAACAGGAAGAAGCUUGCUUCUUUGCUGACGAGUGGCGGACGGGUGAGUCAUGUCUGGGAAACUGCCUGAUGGAGGGGGAUAACUACUGGAAACGGUAGCUAAUACCGCAUAACGUCGCAAGACCAAAGAGGGGGACCUUCGGGCCGCUUGCCAUCGGAUGUGCCCAGAUGGGAUUAGCUAGUAGGUGGGGUAACGGCUCACCUAGGCGACGAUCCCUAGCUGGUCUGAGAGGAUGACCGGCCACACUGGAACUGAGACACGGUCCAGACUCCUACGGGAGGCAGCAGUGGGGAAUAUUGCACAAUGGGCGCAAGCCUGAUGCAGCCAUGCCGCGUGUAUGAAGAAGGCCUUCGGGUUGUAAAGUACUUUCAGCGGGGAGGAAGGGAGUUAAGUUAAUACCUUUACUCAUUGACGUUACCCGCAGAGGAAGCACCGGCUAACUACGUG
Molecule: ribosomal RNA, 490 nt
Filed under: uncultured bacterium
Lineage: Bacteria
Description: partial 16S ribosomal RNA
Rfam family: Bacterial small subunit ribosomal RNA
Source: RNAcentral